Bombus impatiens (common eastern bumble bee) is the source of this 1277-nucleotide long non-coding RNA. RefSeq lists it as uncharacterized. The record is from RefSeq and is a predicted model, not a curated record. The transcript is spliced from 2 exons. Lineage: Eukaryota; Metazoa; Arthropoda; Insecta; Hymenoptera; Apidae.
CCGAUACUUUUAUCAUAGACACGCGGCGAUUGAUUCCAUGAUUCAUAUGAUAUUUACGAUCGCGAUGACAUUUCACAUUUGGCGUUUGUUCAGUUGCCCCUGGAAUUCUGUGCGGGAACGACGGCGCGAGAAGUUGCAAGAACAACAAACCGACCGCGAAAAGGCGAAAACACAAGGAUCCCCGAAAUUUUUCCAAGGCGAUACAGAGAAAAUAAGAGAGACGAACAGACUUCGAACGAUACACCGCAUGGUCGGAAUCGUCGAAUGGGAAAUCACCGAGUAUAAAUAGAAGAUGACUCGCGGUCUGGACUCGCUUGGACACCGUCAGUCGAUGAUCAUACUUUAGCACCGCUAAGUGGGUAUCGAUACAGCAGUACUUGGUUAACUGGCCACGAUCCGGAACCUUAUCUGGCCAGUUAUCGAGAAACAUAACGCCAGAGGUACAUUCACGAAAACGGUACGAAGAAUUGGCGGGGAUAGCGAUAGCCGGCUAAAGAAGUGAAACGGCGAACAAUUAACGCGACAUUACCGUACAUCUCUGACAGAUCCUAUAUAUGCGUAAAAAUGUACACGCAUCGAAUAAGGUAUCCGGUACAUCCUUGGAGCAUCGUUCCGCAUGUUCCAAAAAUAACUAAGGCCAGAUGUGUCAUAUUACACUUAUACGUACGAAACAUAUAUUGCUUUUAUAUCUACUGAUAACAAUCGAAACGUUCGUAAACCCUGUUACGUUUAUCUCGGUCGGUAUAAUCGAGUAGCAAUAUGAAAAAUAAUAUGUCUGACGUUUUCAACCUACACGUGUCGUCAUACAUGCCGCUUUUGUAAUUACACGCCUGUACACAACGUUUUAUUGCUCGUGCGUGAAAUUUUAAUCGAGUCUCCCAGCUCCCGGGUAGUUUCGCACAGUAAAGUAGAAUAUAAAGAAACCAAAGGAUACGAUCGGCUCUGCUUGCACCGUAAUACGCGUAUAGCGCCAUUUCCGUGAACAAAGGAGGAACUAAAUAACCCGAUUAUUUCGGUGUUUCGAAGCUUUCGUAUUUGCCCAUUUCGUAUUCGCGUUCCAUUAAAAUUAAGUCCAUUAACGCAAAAUUAGCCCUCCGGGUGCAAGUUACUUUUUACUAACACAGCGUACCACGGUAGAGCACCUAAGAUCGUGUUUCUAACGUGUUCGAGGCUUUGAAAAAUUUAGAAAAAUUUAUGGCUACUUUUAACGCCUCUACUACGAUAUCCUGAUAGGCGUCGAGAUGAAACGUUAAACAAUUUGUUGUUAAAAACUCGAA